AUUCCAGCUCCAAUAGCGUAUAUUAAAGUUGUUGCAGUUAAAAAGCUCGUAGUUGGAUUUCUGGUUGGAGCGACCGGUCGGGCAUUGAUUUGUCUGCACUGGAGUCGGUUCUGGCCAUCCUCUUGGAAAGUGCGUCUGUCAUUAAGUUGUCGGGCGUAUGAUCCAGGUCUUUUACUGUGAAAAAAUUAGAGUGUUUAAAGCAGGCCUUCGCCUUGAAUACAUUAGCAUGGAAUAAUAAGAUAGGACUUUGGUCUAUUUUGUUGGUUUGCAGACCGAAGUAAUGAUUAAUAGGGAUAGUUGGGGGUAUUUAUAUUCCAAUGUCAGAGGUGAAAUUCUUAGAUUUUUGGAAGAUAAACUUAUGCGAAAGCAUUUACCAAGGAUGUUUUCAUUA
This 391-nucleotide ribosomal RNA is filed under the name Stramenopiles sp. MAST-4D. Its description in RNAcentral is "partial small subunit ribosomal RNA". It matches the Rfam family "Eukaryotic small subunit ribosomal RNA", at positions 582 to 975 of the family's 1831-position model. The record is from RNAcentral.